GCCGAUGUGCAGUAGCAGCAGCAGCAGCCGCGGGUGCUAGAAAGUGUGUAGAGUCCAAACCCUAUUGUCAUACAUCAACCAGUCAGUGCCGUGUCUAGUUCAGUCGCACAUCAAAACGCAUCCAGUCUGUGAGCAGCAAACAAGGGCGAAUUAGGAAGGCAAAGCAGAAGCGAGAAAAGCUCAAAGCGGAAAAGUGUGAUAGAAGAACCAGUUUAAUAUAUAUAUAUUUUUUUUCGCACGCCUGCCCUUCUUCGGAGCACACAAUUUUGGUCGCGCGAUCCGUGGUCGUGGAUGUGUCGUCUGGUCGCAAAAAGUGGCAAAAAUUCGAUCGAAAAGGUGUGUUUUUCCCGUAGCACCGUCACGAAUCGGUGGAAAAUUGUUCACUUUCGGUGUUGAUUUGGUGUUUUUCAGGUGUUAAACGGUCACCUGUGCGUUGGGUGUCACGAUCUGAGUUCGCGAUAGUGCAGUGAAAAUAUAUUCUGUUACGAGGUUGAAGUAAAGAAAAAAAAAGAAUUCCUACCAAGAGGAGAGAUUUUUCGGUUCGAUUGAGUUCGGUUUCAAUUCAGUCUUCUUUUGUGUGCCUAUGCUUACAUCUUGGCAAGAAAGGAUUCGAGAAAAUUAUAUCGCUAUCAAUACAUACAAAUACAGCGUUUUUGGUGUGCAAAAAUUUCAGUCAAAAAAAAUUGUGCCCCAGCCCGUCAGUCGGUGGUUGGUUGUAGCAGCAUAAAAGUUGUUCAAUUGAAUCGAAAAGCAGUGUGUUUUCCGUGUUAUCGGCUGCAGUAUUUCCUCAGGAUUGCCUGUUAAUCGACUGUGAACGAAGCAGGGAAUUUUUUUUUUUCAAAACGACCGCUGAGCAAAAGAUGGUGUUCCGGGAAAAUCAAUAGAAUUGUUUUAGAAGUCCCCGGUAAAGGAACAUCGCCGUAGGAAUCAAGCCAACUAGACGUGACGAAAGAGAAGAUAAAAAAAACAACAACUACUGCUGCAAAGGAAGACUGUAUUUUUACUGUUUGUGUGUUGUUAUAUCCAGUUACAAGAGCCAAUAAGAUCGUUUACAACAAGUGAUAACAAACAAACCGAAGAGGUGCCGAAAUUACGCGCAGAAGUGAUAAUUUUUGUACCCUCCCCCUCUCACCCUCCUUCUUAGCAAAAGUUUCGUAGUGAAGAAAGAUAAGUGAUCCUGCAAUCCUCAACGAUUCAUCAAUUUCCGACCGAAUUGAGCGGCCCCAUCCACCAUCCACCACCAGUGACUGUUUUCGGUCACCCGGCCGCCGCCGCCGCUGCUAGGCUACUCCAACGGAGCAAACUGGCUACCCACAUACACCCCACGGAGUCGCUCGCUGUCGCGCAUCACGGCGCGAUGUCGAUACCGAACGCUGCUGGCCAGCUCGAGGGCGCACUGGCGGCGCCGAAAUACGGGACGCUCAUUCCAAACCGAGUCUUCGUCGGUGGUAUUAGCGGUGACACGACGGAAGCGGAACUGUGCCGGCUAUUCUCCUCGUACGGCAACGUCAAGUCCACGAAAAUCAUCGUCGACCGGGCGGGCGUCAGCAAAGGCUACGGAUUCGUGACGUUCGAAACCGAGCACGAGGCACAAAGACUGCAGAGCGAUGUAAGUAUGAAGGGUGACUGCAUCGUGCUGAGGGAUCGCAAGUUGAACAUUGCACCAGCGAUUAAGAAACAGACAAUCUGUGCAACGAACGGUGCCGUGUACUACGCAGCCACUCCUCCAACCCCGACGAUCAACAACAUCCCAAUCGAGCAGUUUGCGACAGUCUAUCCGCCAGGUGUGCCAACUAUCUAUCCGCCAACGAUGCCGUAUCAGCCGUUCUAUCAGUACUACAGCGUGCCAAUGAAUGUUCCGACUAUUUGGCCUCAAAACUAUCAAGACGGCAACGAUUACUAUUGAAGAGGAUGUUUAUUUGAUUUCUUUUGUCCAACCGAGACACUAUCAGCCAAUUGAAACAACAUUAUCCGAGGAAUCUACCCUUGUUAAAAGAAAGAGAACAAACUAGACAAACAGAAACUUAUUUAUUAUCAUGAGUAAUAUUUAUACAACAAAAAAUCACAUCUAUAUAUAAAUAAAUAAAUUAGACAAAAAAAUCCAUUAGCAUAAAUGAUGAACCUAAUAAUAAUAAAUAACAAAAAAAAACAAAGAACAAAAAUGCAAUAAGUAGCGAAGCAAGAAGCCACAGAGUGGAGGAUAUAUAAUUAGCGAAUCGGAGCGCGAGCGCCACCGACAAGGCUUUAGUGUACAUAUUAUACAGACACACUCUAGUAGCACGGCGGUUAGAAGAUACCGGCGAGGAACCCGUUUUAUUUCAUUUUGUAUCACUCGUCCGUUGCGUUUGCAACCUGGCAAACAGAACGGAAGUUCCGGCGGGACGGUGGAAGCCCGACACAGCCCCCUCUAGCGGAAGGUUGUGGGACUGUGGAUGCGCACACAUACCAGAGGCUACUAACAUCGAAUAUUAUAUAUAUAUAUAAAUACAUCUUACAAAACGAUAUUUAUACAUACACUUGCGAGAGAAGACCUAUACACAACCAGCACAGCAAUUAGAGAUAGCAUGUGAGUGAACGAGUCGCGGAAGCGAAGACCGACAAAACCAAUUCUAGCGAGCGAGGUGGGUGUGAUUGUGAUGGGUGCUGCUGCGGCGAUGUAGACGAGCAGCCGAUAUAGAUACAAACCGAAGAAGCAGAAGAAGACGAAAAAAAUAACACACAGAUCAAUGUCAGGAAGACCGAAGUUUUUGAUUAUGGUUUUGCCAUUCUGUUCCACCGGAUCGCAGGCAUUAUUUUCCGCGUUUCUUUUCUUUAGACUUUUUUUUGUCACGCUUGCCCCCAUCCUCGCGAUGUGAUGGGAUGAGGCGAACCACUAUAAAUAGCUAUUUAAGAAAAAUGACCUAACAAUUAGGAGAGAUAGAGAGAGAGAGAGAGAAAGAGAGGGAGAGUGGCAGUGAAAUUCGCUACCGCGAAACAGCGAUUUUCUAGUGAGGCUAGAAAUUCAAAUUAAUACAACACACGGACUGCUUUAUUUUUAUUAGGAUGUCAAAUGAUGUUGAUAGUGUGGGAAAAACAAAAAGACAGAUUCCAUGUGGGAGACGGAACAACAUGCGAGUGAAAGCGAUUAAUCGUCGAGCCGGAUGGGAAGAUGCGCUUCCCAUUCGGAAUGUUGAAUCUUUUUACUUUUGAAGUAAAACAUUGUUGAACAAUAUUAACCUAAUAUUAGAAACUACUGUAGGUUAUAAGAAUAUAUGAGCCAGCGGGCGGAUAACGACGAGUCAGUUAGGGUAGUUCUAACAAACAUAACUGAAACGGAAUAAAUCCGUGAUUAUUUAUGAUACGAGCGAAAAAAAUCCAUAUACUUAUACAUAGAAAAUAUAUAUAUACAAACAGUAAAGUAAUAAAUCAAACAGAAAUCAGCAACUGACACACACACAUGAAAUAAAAUAAUUAUAAAUACUAAUCUGUACAGAAGCAGCAUGUCGCUAAUUUGGACCUAAAACGUCAACCACCAACGACAAAACAACCACAUGUGAUCGUACACACAUACACACUAGCACAUUUUCGAUAUAAUUUGGUUAGAUGCAUAUAUGUGAGCAAAGUAAUACCAUUUAAAGACGACGAGGGGAUCUUGAAAAUUCUACUAUCCACUGUUUCACUGCACUUGAACGGUCUAUUUUUUUUUCUUUCAGAGACUCUGAUGAGACGAAGUCAAUUUAGUUUCCAUGGGAUUAUGUCAGCUCUUUAACUUUUCUUUUCAGUUAUUGUGUAAGAUCUCAUAUAAAAUCGUUUAGAUAUUUUUCCUUGAUCCCUUUAAACUAUUCUACUCUAAAGCAUGCUGUACACGAAAACAACGGGACAUGGUUUGUUGUUUGUUUGUCAGCUUUAACUCUUAAAGGCUUAAUCAUUUAGACAUGGGACGUAGUUUUAACCUUUCAAUCGAAAAUCUUUCAGGAUGAAACAAAGGUAAUAUUUUACUUCAUGAAAAUAAUUGAAACAAAAUCUUUCAUUUGUAACAUGCAGAAUUUCUCGCACUUUUCUGUAGAUACUGCUUAUCAAGCGACACGCACCUUCUACACUAGGGCAUUGCAAAAAAAAAUUUUUUUGAAUUCUCGAAGGCCCCCCCUCUCAUAUUGUGACAAAUGUCAAAGCAAGCUCAGAUGCCAAAUUUCACAUCAUUGGGACAAUUUUAGACCCCCGCCCACUUCGCUUGAAAUGUUUUGAAAUUGGUACUAUGGGAAAAUAUGGAGGAAAAAUACAUUAAAUGCUAUAACUUUUGAAGUAGCAAUCAG
Molecule: RNA transcript, 4292 nt
Organism: Topomyia yanbarensis
Lineage: Eukaryota; Metazoa; Arthropoda; Insecta; Diptera; Culicidae
Gene name: protein boule
Exons: 8
Source: RefSeq, a predicted model, not a curated record